UAGGGAAUCUUCGGCAAUGGGGGGAACCCUGACCGAGCAACGCCGCGUGAGUGAAGAAGGUUUUCGGAUCGUAAAGCUCUGUUGUUAAGGAAGAACGAGUGUGAGAAUGGAAAGUUCAUACUGUGACGGUACUUAACCAGAAAGGGACGGCUAACUACGUGCCAGCAGCCGCGGUAAUACGUAGGUCCCGAGCGUUGUCCGGAUUUAUUGGGCGUAAAGCGAGCGCAGGCGGUUAGAUAAGUCUGAAGUUAAAGGCAGUGGCUCAACCAUUGUAGGCUUUGGAAACUGUUUAACUUGAGUGCAGAAGAGGAGAGUGGAAUUCCAUGUGUAGCGGUGAAAUGCGUAGAUAUAUGGAGGAACACCAGUGGCGAAGGCGACUCUCAGGUCUGUAACUAACGCUGAGGCUCGAAAGCGUGGGUAGCAAACAGG
Molecule: ribosomal RNA, 429 nt
Filed under: Bacteroidota bacterium
Lineage: Bacteria; Pseudomonadati; Bacteroidota
Description: Bacteroidetes bacterium partial 16S ribosomal RNA
Rfam family: Bacterial small subunit ribosomal RNA
Source: RNAcentral